GCACUUGUAGCUCAGGGGAUAGAGCAGUUGCAUCCGAGGCAAUUGGUCGCAGGUUCGAUUCCUGUCAAGUGCGCCA
RNAcentral lists this transfer RNA (76 nucleotides) under Psittacicella gerlachiana. RNAcentral describes it as "Bisgaard taxon 44 str. EEAB3T1 tRNA-Arg". It matches the Rfam family "tRNA". Rfam says of the family: Transfer RNA (tRNA) molecules are approximately 80 nucleotides in length. Their secondary structure includes four short double-helical elements and three loops (D, anti-codon, and T loops). Further hydrogen bonds mediate the characteristic L-shaped molecular structure. tRNAs have two regions of fundamental functional importance: the anti-codon, which is responsible for specific mRNA codon recognition, and the 3' end, to which the tRNAs corresponding amino acid is attached (by aminoacyl-tRNA synthetases). tRNAs cope with the degeneracy of the genetic code in two manners: having more than one tRNA (with a specific anti-codon) for a particular amino acid; and 'wobble' base-pairing, i.e. permitting non-standard base-pairing at the 3rd anti-codon position. The record is from RNAcentral. Lineage: Bacteria; Pseudomonadati; Pseudomonadota; Gammaproteobacteria; Pasteurellales; Psittacicellaceae.